AUUGAACGCUGGCGGCAGGCUUAACACAUGCAAGUCGAACGAUGAAGUCUAGCUUGCCAGACGGAUUAGUGGCGAACGGGUGAGUAAUGCUUAGGAAUCUGCCUAUUAGUGGGGGAUAACGUAGGGAAACUUACGCUAAUACCGCAUACGACCUACGGGUGAAAGGGGGCGUUUAGCUCUCGCUAAUAGAUGAGCCUAAGUCGGAUUAGCUAGUUGGUGGGGUAAAGGCCUACCAAGGCGACGAUCUGUAGCUGGUCUGAGAGGAUGAUCAGCCACACUGGGACUGAGACACGGCCCAGACUCCUACGGGAGGCAGCAGUGGGGAAUAUUGGACAAUGGGCGAAAGCCUGAUCCAGCCAUGCCGCGUGUGUGAAGAAGGCCUUUUGGUUGUAAAGCACUUUAAGUGGGGAGGAAAAGCUUAUGGUUAAUACCCAUAAGCCCUGACGUUACCCACAGAAUAAGCACCGGCUAACUCUGUGCCAGCAGCCGCGGUAGUACAGAGGGUGCAAGCGUUAAUCGGAAUUACUGGGCGUAAAGCGCGCGUAGGUGGUUAUUUAAGUCAGAUGUGAAAGCCCCGGGCUUAACCUGGGAACUGCAUCUGAUACUGGAUAACUAGAGUAGGUGAGAGGGGAGUAGAACUCCAGGUGUAGCGGUGAAAUGCGUAGAGAUCUGGAGGAAUACCGAUGGCGAAGGCAGCUCCCUGGCAUCAUACUGACACUGAGGUGCGAAAGCGUGGGUAGCAAACAGG
Molecule: ribosomal RNA, 748 nt
Filed under: uncultured Moraxella sp.
Lineage: Bacteria; Pseudomonadati; Pseudomonadota; Gammaproteobacteria; Moraxellales; Moraxellaceae
Description: bacterial SSU rRNA
Rfam family: Bacterial small subunit ribosomal RNA
Source: RNAcentral